RNAcentral lists this ribosomal RNA (424 nucleotides) under uncultured bacterium. RNAcentral's name for it is "bacterial SSU rRNA". It matches the Rfam family "Bacterial small subunit ribosomal RNA", at positions 354 to 796 of the family's 1533-position model. The record is from RNAcentral.
GUGGGGAAUAUUGCACAAUGGGGGAAACCCUGAUGCAGCGACGCCGCGUGAGGGAAGAAGGUUUUCGGAUUGUAAACCUCUGUCCUUGGUGACGAUAAUGACGGUAGCCAAGGAGGAAGCCACGGCUAACUACGUGCCAGCAGCCGCGGUAAUACGUAGGUGGCAAGCGUUGUCCGGAAUUACUGGGUGUAAAGGGAGCGUAGGCGGGAAAGCAAGUUGAAUGUUUAAACUAUCGGCUCAACCGAUAAUCGCGUUCAAAACUGUUUUUCUUGAGUGAAGUAGAGGUAGGCGGAAUUCCUAGUGUAGCGGUGAAAUGCGUAGAUAUUAGGAGGAACACCAGUGGCGAAGGCGGCCUACUGGGCUUUAACUGACGCUGAGGCUCGAAAGCGUGGGUAGCAAACAGGAUUAGAAACCCGAGUAGUCC